GAUGAACGCUGGCGGCGUGCCUAAUACAUGCAAGUCGAGCGAACAGACGAGGAGCUUGCUCCUCUGACGUUAGCGGCGGACGGGUGAGUAACACGUGGAUAACCUACCUAUAAGACAGGGAUAACUUCGGGAAACCGGAGCUAAUACCGGAUAAUAUAUUGAACCGCAUGGUUCAAUAGUGAAAGACGGUUUUGCUGUCACUUAUAGAUGGAUCCGCGCCGCAUUAGCUAGUUGGUAAGGUAACGGCUUACCAAGGCAACGAUGCGUAGCCGACCUGAGAGAGUGAUCGGCCACACUGGAACUGAGACACGGUCCAGACUCCUACGGGAGGCAGCAGUAGGGAAUCUUCCGCAAUGGGCGAAAGCAUGACGGAGCAACGCCGCGUGAGUGAUGAAGGUCUUCGGAUCGUAAAACUCUGUUAUUAGGGAAGAACAAAUGUGUAAGUAACUAUGCACGUCUUGACGGUACCUAAUCAGAAAGCCACGGCUAACUACGUG
Molecule: ribosomal RNA, 497 nt
Filed under: uncultured bacterium
Lineage: Bacteria
Description: partial 16S ribosomal RNA
Rfam family: Bacterial small subunit ribosomal RNA
Source: RNAcentral